RNAcentral lists this ribosomal RNA (253 nucleotides) under uncultured bacterium. RNAcentral describes it as "partial 16S ribosomal RNA". It matches the Rfam family "Bacterial small subunit ribosomal RNA", at positions 524 to 776 of the family's 1533-position model. The record is from RNAcentral.
UACAGAGGUCCCAAGCGUUGUUCGGAUUCAUUGGGCGUAAAGGGUGCGUAGGUGGCGCCGUAAGUCAGGUGUGAAAUCUCGGGGCUUAACUCCGAAACUGCAUUCGAUACUGCGGUGCUUGAGGACUGGAGAGGAGACUGGAAUUUACGGUGUAGCAGUGAAAUGCGUAGAGAUCGUAAGGAAGACCAGUGGCGAAGGCGGGUCUCUGGACAGUUCCUGACACUGAGGCACGAAGGCCAGGGGAGCAAACGGG